UGUGGCCAUCCACUACAACAAUAGAAUCUGCUUUCACCUCAAAGUGGUCACACCUGUCGCAUCAUUAACCAAAAAAGAUGACCCAAUGAUGAGGUAUUACGUCAAAACCAACUCUCAACCAUGCUUGGAGCAGAAGCCAGCCAACAUAUGUAAUUUCAAACACUACACUGGAGCUUAUUGCCAAGGUCAUUUCAGUCCAUC
Molecule: long non-coding RNA, 201 nt
Organism: Lineus longissimus
Lineage: Eukaryota; Metazoa; Nemertea; Pilidiophora; Heteronemertea; Lineidae
Exons: 3
Source: RefSeq, a predicted model, not a curated record